Molecule: ribosomal RNA, 740 nt
Filed under: Brevibacterium aureum
Lineage: Bacteria; Bacillati; Actinomycetota; Actinomycetes; Micrococcales; Brevibacteriaceae
Description: bacterial SSU rRNA
Rfam family: Bacterial small subunit ribosomal RNA
Source: RNAcentral
GUGAGUAACACGUGAGUAACCUGCCCCCGAUUUCGGGAUAAGCCCGGGAAACUGGGUCUAAUACCGGAUAUGACCAGAGGACGCAUGUUCUGUGGUGGAAAGUUUUUCGAUCGGGGAUGGGCUCGCGGCCUAUCAGCUUGUUGGUGGGGUAAUGGCCUACCAAGGCGACGACGGGUAGCCGGCCUGAGAGGGCGACCGGCCACACUGGGACUGAGACACGGCCCAGACUCCUACGGGAGGCAGCAGUGGGGAAUAUUGCACAAUGGGGGAAACCCUGAUGCAGCGACGCAGCGUGCGGGAUGACGGCCUUCGGGUUGUAAACCGCUUUCAGCAGGGAAGAAGCGAAAGUGACGGUACCUGCAGAAGAAGUACCGGCUAACUACGUGCCAGCAGCCGCGGUAAUACGUAGGGUACGAGCGUUGUCCGGAAUUAUUGGGCGUAAAGAGCUCGUAGGUGGUUGGUCACGUCUGCUGUGGAAACGCAACGCUUAACGUUGCGCGGGCAGUGGGUACGGGCUGACUAGAGUGCAGUAGGGGAGUCUGGAAUUCCUGGUGUAGCGGUGAAAUGCGCAGAUAUCAGGAGGAACACCGGUGGCGAAGGCGGGACUCUGGGCUGUAACUGACACUGAGGAGCGAAAGCAUGGGGAGCGAACAGGAUUAGAUACCCUGGUAGUCCAUGCCGUAAACGUUGGGCACUAGGUGUGGGGGACAUUCCACGUUCUCCGCGCCGUAGCUAACGCA